This 367-nucleotide unclassified non-coding RNA is filed under the name Hevea brasiliensis (rubber tree). Lineage: Eukaryota; Viridiplantae; Streptophyta; Magnoliopsida; Malpighiales; Euphorbiaceae. The record is from RNAcentral.
GAACAUUUGACUCUAUAUAAUUGUAGUCUCAUUAUGAAAACAAAGACAAUCAUAUUAAAGUCACCAAUAAGUGGCAUGGAUGGUAAAUUCCUCCUGCGCCAUUUCCGGCCAUUUUCUACUCUCAAGACACGUUUAAUUCCCCAUUUGCUCGGAUAAGUGGGAGUCGAUUUGUAAAUUACUUUUUUUAAUUUCAAUUAGUAAACUAAUUAUGGACACGUGGUCCACAUUGGACCAAACAGCCCUUGGAGAUUGGAAAAGUAGCAUUAGCAUUAGCACGUUAUUUCUUAGAACACCACAAAAUUUUUGUGCUUUCUUGAUAGAUCAAUCCUGCAAAGUAAUAUUAUAUAAUCUCUCUCUCUCUCUCUCU